UGAGAAACUGAUUUUCUUGUAAGUGAGCCGGGCUGAAACAAAAUCCCUCUUCCCAAGACCCCAACUCAAUUCCACUUUCCCAUUACAAAAAAACCCAUCUCCUGAAAACGCUGCAGCGACAAAAUCGUCACUUCUCCUGAAAACGCUCCAGCCACAAAAUCGUCACUUCCGAUCGACGCGUCAACCAUUAGACAAUACUUUUUCCCUCCCUGUCGGCUAGAGACCAUUGAAUACUCGCACACUUAGACUAGGUCGAUGGCAGGCAAGAAUCGGGGAAUAUUUAUUGUUGUAGACAAAGGAGACAUAUGCUGCCAGAGUGCUCGAGAAAGAGAAGCUAUCCAAAUUGUGGUCUGGGCUUCAUCAAAUGGAUGGAGGUCGAAAAGCACAAUGACCAUAAAGGACUAUUGUUCCAUUGUUGCACUUGCGACUGUAGGUAUUUCAAGUGGUGUAACAAAUCCCCUGAUGAAAAGUGUCCAUUGCAUGAUGAUGGUGAAUCAAGUGGCAUCAGAAAUGGAGGCGAACGGGUGGAUGAUUUGUCGCAAAUAUUAAAAAUGCUCGCUAAGCUAACUGACGAAAAAGACUUGAAGACCUCGCUCAAAAUAAAUAUGCGCAAAGGAAAACAAGAUUUGGAGAAUGAAACUGAAUAUGUCAUGUAUUCGGAUGGUUUAGGAUGGUGUAUGACGAAAAAGACUCUUUCGAAUUGUUGUGCAAGUGUUUAUCUAUGAUAUGCUGGUACUUAUAUGUAAUCUGAUUUUGGAAAAAAUUGUGUUAAUGUUUGACGAGCUUCUCAAGGUGUCAACUCUCCUGUAUUUUGUCCGUAAUCUUAAUGAAGUACUUUUCUAUUUCUUCCAGCCAAUUAUGUCAA
Long non-coding RNA from Olea europaea var. sylvestris, 865 nucleotides. RefSeq lists it as uncharacterized. NCBI's taxonomy places the organism in Eukaryota, Viridiplantae, Streptophyta, Magnoliopsida, Lamiales, Oleaceae. The record is from RefSeq and is a predicted model, not a curated record. The transcript is spliced from 2 exons.